Molecule: ribosomal RNA, 1285 nt
Filed under: Tenebrionoidea sp. 12 KM-2017
Lineage: Eukaryota; Metazoa; Arthropoda; Insecta; Coleoptera
Description: 16S ribosomal RNA
Rfam family: Archaeal large subunit ribosomal RNA (bases 1044-1202)
Source: RNAcentral
AUUUAAAUUAUUAUUAUUUAUUUAAAUUUUAUUUAUUUUAAUAAAAAAAUUUAAUUAGUUUGAUUAUAUUUAUAGAAUAAAUUUUUUUAAUUAUAGAAUAUAGUAUUGUGAAAGAAAUAAAAUUAAAUAUUUCAAAGAAAAUUUUAUUGGUUGUACCUUGUGUAUCAGGGUUUAUUAAUUUAAAUUAAAGUUUUAAUUUUCUCGAAUUUAAAAGAGUUAAGUAAAAAUUUAUUUUAUUGUAGAAUAAAUAUUUAAAAUUUUUAUUUAGUAAUGAAACGUUAUUCGUUUUUAAAUAUAUCUAGUUUUUUAAGAAAUAAAUUUAAUUUAUUGAUUAAUUAAUAUUACGAUAAUUUACUUAUUUUAAUAUUGUUAAUUUAAAAUAUUUUUAGGGAUAAGCUUAAAAAUAAAUUAUUAUAAAUAAUUAAUUUUAAAUAAUUAAUAGGAUUAGAAUUUUUCAUUUAUAAAAAGAUGUUAUAAUCAAUUUUAUUUUAUUUAUUAUUUUUUUUAUUUUUAAAUUUUUUAUUAAAGAAUUAGUUUUAAUUUUUAAAAUUAAGUUAUAAUGAUAAAAUAAGUAUAAAUUAAUGUAAUAAUAAUUUAAUAAUAAAAGUUAAUUAUAAGGAAUUCGGCAAAAAUUUUUCCACCUGUUUAAUAAAAACAUGUCUUUUUGAUAUAUAAUUUAAAGUCUGACCUGCCCAAUGAAAAGUUUAAUGGCCGCAGUAUUUUGACUGUGCAAAGGUAGCAUAAUCAUUAGUUUUUUAAUUGAAAGCUGGAAUGAAUGGUUUGAUGAGAAAAAAUCUGUCUCAUAGUUAUUUAAUUAGAAAUUUAUUUUUAAGUUAAAAAGCUUAAAUGUUUUAAAAAGACGAGAAGACCCUAUAGAGUUUAAAUUUUAUUUAUAUAAAUAAUAUUAGGAUUUAAUAAAUUUUUAUAUUUAUAAAAUAUUUAUUGGGGUGAUAUAAAAAUUUAUUUAACUUUUUAUUUAUUAAAACAUUGAUUUAUGAAUAAUUGAUCCUAAUUUUUAGAUUAAAAGAAAAAAUUACCUUAGGGAUAACAGCGUAAUUUUUUUUAAGAGUUCUUAUCGAAAAAAAAGAUUGCGACCUCGAUGUUGGAUUAAAAUUUAUUUUUGGUGUAGAAGCUAAAAUAUUAGGUCUGUUCGACCUUUAAAAUUUUACAUGAUCUGAGUUUAGACCGGCGUGAGCCAGGUUGGUUUCUAUCUUUUAAUAAAUUUAAUAUUUUAGUACGAAAGGACCAAAUAUUAAAAUUAUAUUUUAAAUUUUUGAAUAAAAUU